Molecule: ribosomal RNA, 813 nt
Filed under: uncultured Staphylococcus sp.
Lineage: Bacteria; Bacillati; Bacillota; Bacilli; Caryophanales; Staphylococcaceae
Description: bacterial SSU rRNA
Rfam family: Bacterial small subunit ribosomal RNA
Source: RNAcentral
CGGGUGAGUAACACGUGGAUAACCUACCUAUAAGACUGGGAUAACUUCGGGAAACCGGAGCUAAUACCGGAUAAUAUUUUGAACCGCAUGAUUCAACAAGUGAAAGACGGUCUUGCUGUCACUUAUAGAUGGAUCCGCGCUGCAUUAGCUAGUUGGUAACGGUAACGGCUUACCAAGGCCAACGAUGCAUAGCCGACCUGACAGGGUGAUCGGCCACACUGGAACCUGAGACACGGUCCAGACUCCUACGGGCAGGCAGCAGUACGGAAUCUUCCGCAAUGGGCGACAGCCUGACGGACCAACAGCCGCGUGAGUGAUGAAGGUCUUCGGAUCGUAAAACUCUGUUAUUAGGGAUAGACAUAUGUGUAAGUUAACUGUGCACAUCUUGACGGUACCUAAUCAGAAAGCCACGGCUAACUACGUGCCAGCAGCCGCGGUAAUACGUAGGUGGCAAGCGUUAUCCGGAAUUAUUGGGCGUAAAGCGCGCGUAGGCGGUUUUUUAAGUCUGAUGUGAAAGCCCACGGCUCAACCGUGGAGGGUCAUUGGAAACUGGAAAACUUGAGUGCAGAAGAGGAAAGUGGAAUUCCAUGUGUAGCCGGUGAAAUGCGCAGAGAUAUGGAGGAACACCAGUGGCGAAGGCGACUUUCUGGUCUGUAACUGACGCUGAUGUGCGAAAGCGUGGGGAUCAAACAGGAUUAGAUACCCUGGUAGUCCACGCCGUAAACGAUGAGUGCUAAGUGUUAGGGGGUUUCCGCCCCUUAGUGCUGCAGCUAACGCAUUAAGCACUCCGCCUGGGGAGUACGACCGCAAGUG